This 69-nucleotide transfer RNA is filed under the name Phrynosoma platyrhinos (Desert horned lizard). RNAcentral's name for it is "tRNA-OTHER". It matches the Rfam family "tRNA". From Rfam's summary of the family: Transfer RNA (tRNA) molecules are approximately 80 nucleotides in length. Their secondary structure includes four short double-helical elements and three loops (D, anti-codon, and T loops). Lineage: Eukaryota; Metazoa; Chordata; Lepidosauria; Squamata; Phrynosomatidae. The record is from RNAcentral.
AGUGUGGUGUAGUGGUUUGAGUGUUGGACUAUGGUUCUGGAGAUCAGGGUUCAAUUCCCUGUUACACCA